Long non-coding RNA from Gallus gallus (chicken), 3371 nucleotides. Lineage: Eukaryota; Metazoa; Chordata; Aves; Galliformes; Phasianidae. The record is from Ensembl.
CUGAAAGGUAAAAAACAUAUUUUUUAAUAAAAGAAACAGCACACACACACACACACAAAAAAGACAGGUAAACAUAAUUCCACCCAGUGCUGAGUCCUGGAAAAGUCCUUCCUGGCCUGAUGGUGCUCAUGGAUAAAUGAAAAAGGCUGUAUCAUCCACUAUUGGUUCCCUGCCUGAAAAUGCUGAACUUGAAAGGUUUGAAGGGACAGCUGUAUUUCAUUAAAGUUGCUUGGUGAGCAGUGCAUCUAAUGAAGAUUGUUUCCCUAAGGAUUUAAGGACCUUGUUAAUUACUGCUUCCAGUGACAGCAAUCCCUGUUUCCUCUAAACUCCCAUCAAUAUCCCUAUCCCUCAGGAACUGAGAGCUGCCCAUGUCUACCUUCAGUUUCCUCUCACCUACCAUGCAAUCAUGCUGCAACACUAUCUCCACAAUGAUCCUUCGAAUUUCCUCAGGCCUCCACAACUGUCCUAGCUGCUGCCCUAAUCUGGUUUUGAAAUCGUGUCUGUUCUAACCCUGCAUGCAAAAGAACUGAUGAGUGCUAAAUAGGAGAACUCAUGGCAUCCAGUGCCUGAAAAGAACGGCUGAAACAUCUGUCAGACUAAAGACUACAGCACCAAAAUUCAUCUUGUCACAACCUUAUCCUGACAUUCAUGUCCCGAUUCCUGAAAUUAUGAAGCAAACAGAAUAUUUUUAGUAAGAAAAUGGCUCUGCUAUCCUUUCUCAUUCCAGUACCUCGGUUUCAUUGCAAUGCUAUGUUCUGAAGUGAAAGAAGACUUCCAGUAAGUUCUUUCAUUAAGGUGCCACAAAUGUUAGGUAUUUACAUUUGCCUAGACAGACAACCACAAGCCUUUCGUGGAACGUUGGCCAAUGUCUGAAGUGUGCGUGCAGGCAGACAUGCGUGUGGAUGAAGGGACAUACACUUCUUUCAGGACUGGGAGAAAAUAAUCUAUGAAAUACAUUCUCUGUUCAGUUUGGCCCAACACAGGAAUAUCCAUCUUUCAUUCAUCCCACAUCCCACCAGAAAAUCCCUUCAGCUCUAAAAUGAAUCAUAGAAUCACAGAAUCAUAGAAUCACAGAAGGGCCUGGGUUGAAAAGGACCACAAUGAUCAUCGAGUUUCAACCCCCCUGCUAUAUGCGGGGCCGCCAAUCACCAGACCAGACUGCCCAGCAACACAUCCAGCCUGGCCUUGAAUGCCUCCAGGGAUGGGGCACCCACAGCCUCCUUGGGCAACCUAUUCCAGGGCAUCACCACCCUCUGGGUGAAAAACUUCCUCCUAAUAUCUAACCUAAACCUCCCCUGUCUCAGUUUAAGACCAUUCCCCCUUGUCCUAUCACUAUCCACCCUCAUAAACAGCCGUUCCCCCUCCUGUUUAUAUGCUCCCUUCAAGUACUGGGAGGCCACACUGAGGUCUCUUCUCUUCUCCAAGCUAAACAAGCCCAGUUCCCUCCACCUUUCCUCAUAGGAGAGGUUCUGCAGCCCUCUGAUCAUCUUAGUGGCCCUCCUCUGGACUCAUUCCAAGAGCCCUGUGUCUUUCUUGUACUGGGGUUUACUUUAUUCAAAUCUCCAGACAAAAACCUUGGUGAAAGGGGAAAAGAAAACUUUCUUUUCUUUUCUUUUCUUUUCUUUUCUUUUCUUUUCUUUUCUUUUCUUUUCUUUUCUUUUCUUUUCUUUUCUUUUUCUUUUCUUUUCUUUUCUAAGGAAAAAGAUACCUAGCACGAACACAGGAGGAGGCCUAAAAAUCUCAGAAGUGAUGAUGACUGUUGGAGCAUUAGUAUCUAGGGCAGUGACAGGAAUCCCACUAGAUCAGUUAUACAAAAUGCCAGCAGCGUCUACCUCACACUCUGAGGUGCGUGGGGCUCUGCAGACAUCGUGGCAGGUGUCGUGGCCACGCAGCCAUCUCCUGCCAUCUGCAUCCCGACCCAAUGGCACCCACACACCCCUGGGCUGGGGCUGGGUCCUGCUGGGAGAGCAGGGACAGAAGGGGAUGCUGCUGAGCCCGAGGGUGCGAGCUGGGAGGGAGCAUGCGGGGCGAGACAGCCUGGGAGAAGCUUGUCCUACUGCUCCCUCUGCUGUACCCAUCCUGCAGAGAAAUCCCAAAUGUCAGCCGGAGAAGCCGGGAUGACAGAUGGCAGCUUUCAGCCAGAAAUCUGCACGGACCCAGGUGGACUCGAGAAAGGGGAGAAAGCACGUCGACGAGGAAGGAAAGACCACCAGACGCAGGAGAUGGCGCGAUGCGCAUCUUCCCGCGUUCAGCACAUUAAAUCUCUUUUGCUCUGUACCUACUAGGAGAGAUGUUAUCCUUCCGCUUCCAGCACGGCGCAGGGAACACGGGGAAACAACGCCUCUCCUUGAGCGCGGUCUUCCCGCUUUAUAACCUAUAUUUAGCCGAUGAUCUCAUCCUACGAGGACGGGUGUCACGAUCAGCUGCGCGGCUCAGCCUGCAGAGAGGCGCAUGAAGCUCCCCAGGCACGGUUGCUUACAGCAGCCAAAUGACAAGUUAUGCAAUGCCGGCAGCAAAUGCCUCGCAUACCCCGGGCUCCUCGCAGACAUCAAAUGGGGGAAAAACACCCGACCUGGGAUUCAUGUUAAUGCCACACCGAAUUUCACAGGACGAAGCAUGGGCAAAAGUGGCGAAAGGGGAAAAUGGGCUUACGGAAAGGCAAAUAAUGAUUUGUGAAUUAUCAAUCUGACCGUCGGUGAGACUUUUUUAACCCACCACCACCUUAACGUGACUCCGGUCAAAAAUCCCACCGUGCACACUAUUUCUGAGGGCUGAGAAAUCAGCAGCAUUGAAUACCACCUACUAAAGACAUCUGCAGCUGCCAUGAAAAUCUUGCUUUGAAUACAGUGAAAGCUGGUACCCCCAGAAAAAUACAUACUUUCAAAUGCUCAGGUAUUACAGUGUGCUUCUUGUGAUCUUCAGAGCAGUAUUUCAGCUACCGCAAACUUCCCUUUCAGCCCUGAUUUAUGGAAAUCCAAACCAGAGUAAAGACUACCUCAGAAGAAGAAAUCACUCUCAAGCGCUUUUCUCCGAGAAGCACGCGUUUUCCAUAUGAAAAGAGACGAUUAAAGGCUGCAAGUCCAAAAGGCUGGAGUGCAGCAUUUAGGAUUUGGUGACUUUGAACCUCCAAUCAGACAUUCAUCUUAAACCGUACAGAGAAUUUCAGGAACUUGACACAACUUUUACUGGAAAUAAAACCCAAACCCCAAAUCUUCCCAAUACCAGUAUGAGAUUAAAACAACUAAUUAGUGAAUUUCAGAAAUCAACAGAUUAACUGCAUUCUCUUUUCCUCCCUGACCUAAGUAUGAUUUCCUUUUAUAUUACAGAACAUCUACCAGUUAAUGAAAAUAUCAGAAACUGGAUUUUAUAAU